AUGCUCCCGCCUCACCUUGGUUUUCCUGAUUUGCCUGUGAAAACUCCACACCCUCCUCCUCCUCCGGAAAUAUUGGGAAACACUCGCAAUGAAAUAUGCAUGGAAAAGGAGAUGGGCAUCUCCCUCAUGGAAAAGGAGACUGGCAUCUCCUUCAUGGAAAAGGAGACUGGCAUCUCCUUCAUGGAGAAUGAGGCUGGCAUCUCCUUCAUGGAAAAGGAGACUGGCAUCUCCCUUAUGGAGAACAAGACUGGCAUCUCCUUCAUGGAGAAUGAGGCUGGCAUCUCCCUCAUGGAAAAGGAGACUGGCAUCUCCUUCAUGGAGAACAAGACUGGCAUCUCCUUCAUGGAAAAGGAGACUGGCAUCUCCUUCAUGGAGAAUGAGGCUGGCAUCUCCUUCAUGGAAAAGGAGACUGGCAUCUCCUUCAUGGAGAACGAGACUGGCAUAUCCCUCAUGGAGAACAAGACUGGCAUCUCCCUCCUCCUGCAGGGGAGGAAGGGACCCACAGGCAGAACUUGCUGCCCUGGGGUGUCCCUGGGUAGAUCCCAAAGAAUGGAUCCCCAUAAGCCAAACCCCAGGGUGGCUGGUGGCAGGGGGAACUAUGGGAGCAUUGUGGGUGGCUGUGGGAAGCCAUUUCCUGCCUCAGUUUCCCCCGUGGCAAGGCAGGGAUCAGCCCUGCCUCACCCUGCGCGGCAGCAGAAUGAAAAUCUUGGGAUGGGGAGGAAAAGCUCUUUGGAGCAGAGCUAUAAACAUCUUGCUGAUCCUGGAAAAUGGGUUCUGGGUGGCCGGGCUGGGUUCCUGAAGGGAACAGCCCUGGGAGAUGGCUGGAGGCCAGGGAUGCACCUGCAGGAGCGUUCGGGGUGCUGUGGGGGGAGGCUCUUCCCAAAGAGCAUCCCACAACUUCCCGCUGCUCCCAGGGCUGGGGGACUCCAACCCCACAACUCUGGCUGCUCCCAGGGGUUGGUGGGUGCCAGCAAGGGGCUGCUGAGUGCUCUGGGGGAGUGGGAACCUCUGGGUCGUCUCCGUCCGACACAGGUCUGGUUUUCCAAGCCCUUCCUGUUAUUACCCAGCUGGGGAACAAUAGCAGCUGGCGCAGUGUGA
Molecule: long non-coding RNA, 1098 nt
Filed under: Chloebia gouldiae (Gouldian finch)
Lineage: Eukaryota; Metazoa; Chordata; Aves; Passeriformes; Passeridae
Description: Erythrura gouldiae (Gouldian finch) lncRNA (ENSEGOG00005011278.1)
Source: RNAcentral